UGCUACAAAGUAGGAGCGUGGAUGAUAUAGUUAGAGAAUUAGUAGCAUCACGAAUUAGGUGGUAAUUAAGUUACUGUUUGAAAUGGAGCUUUUCUCUCUACCGUUGAAUUAAUCCAAAGUGUUUGAGCAUGAAACAUAUAUAGGGCUGCCAUGUGGAUUUAAUUAAAGAUUGGUUCAAUAGUUUUGUUAUAACUUAAUUCAGGAGUGGAGUGUGGUUAAACUAACUAGAGUUAAGUCCAAUCAAAAAUCUAUAAAUAGAGAUAUGUAGUGCACUUAUUUCCUCACUCAUAUUCAAAGAAGCCAUCAAAAUUCUCAAACCACACUCUUACUAAAUUUUAUAUCUAAAACAUUCAUUCUUGAGCCCUCUCUCUACCGCCAGCUAUAGUCACUUUCUUCUAAUCUCAUUAAUCACUUGUUUCUUGAAAAGCCAAAAGCCAAAAUCACUACACCACCAUCGCCUCUCCUAUACAUAUAUACACAUAAAUAUAUAUGGCUCAUCACAUUCUUCAUCGUUUCGACGUCACUACCUUCAUUGUUUUACAUUCAAGUUUCUAGUGCUCUACUAGAUUUUAUUUGAAAACUAAGGUUUUUCCUAAGACAAUUAUUCUCAAGGAUCACUUUCAUUGCAAUCAAGGCUAGGACUCCAUAUUCGAGACCAAUGUAACUGAAAGUCUAGAAUGCCAGUGGCGAAUGAAACUUUGGACGCUUGUGUGUGUGAACUCGCUGAGGGCCAUAUAACUGCGAGCAGUCUAGGGCGCUCUAUUUAUUUAUUUACGCUAUUAAAUUUACGUCGCAAUUAUUUAUUAUGUCUUUUGUAUGAAAAUUGGCCAGUUGUGAACAUUUUCAAGUAUUAAAUAAAAAUGCGACAUUAUAAUUUUCUGCGUUUAACGCUUGUAAAAAAAAAAUUAAUAUUUUUAUAAAAGUACGGGCAUUACAAAAUGGUAUCAAAGCCUUGACCCAGCCGGAAGUGUGGUCGACGAGGACAUCGGACCCCGUAAGGGGGCUGAUUGUGACAGUCAGUAGUCCCGUGAUCUGUAAGGGGAAACACCGGGUAAGCUGUGCAAUCCCACAUCGCCUGGGGAAGGUCAAGUGUGACUACACAGUUGAAGAGAGCUUAAAUGGAUUGAUUGGUACUACCUAUAUCAACAAGGUGCAUCUUUUUUUUCGGUAGCCCAUCACGAAAGAACUCUACAGUUAAGCGUGCUUGACCUGGGGUAAUUUCAGGAUGGGUGACCUCUUGGGAAGUUUUCCUAGGAAGCGUGCGAGUGAGGACAAAGUACGCUGGAAAUACUUGUGUUGGUCUGUAGGGUCAGUCAUCAGUCCAUGAAGCAGCCAGAGUAACGUACUCGUGUAUAAGAGUCAUUCAUUCUGUGGGUGUAAGGACCCAAUGGAGGCUUGAAGCGGGGACGUUACACAUGGCAUGUGGGGCGCACUCACAUGUAAGCGAGGCGGGACAGUCGUCCUUGGAUAAAAAAAAUUCGGAAAAAAAAAUAUAUAUGCAAUUUAGUUAGUUACGACAUAUAUUUGUAAUAAAAAAUUGAUAUUUAUAGAUAUAAUAUUAGAUUUAGUGUAAUGGUUAAAUUA
Long non-coding RNA from Cannabis sativa, 1584 nucleotides. RefSeq lists it as uncharacterized. The record is from RefSeq and is a predicted model, not a curated record. NCBI's taxonomy places the organism in Eukaryota, Viridiplantae, Streptophyta, Magnoliopsida, Rosales, Cannabaceae. The transcript has 3 exons.